Molecule: non-coding RNA, 727 nt
Organism: Aegilops tauschii subsp. strangulata
Lineage: Eukaryota; Viridiplantae; Streptophyta; Magnoliopsida; Poales; Poaceae
Source: RefSeq, a predicted model, not a curated record
AGUGGGCGUGAAAAAGAGUUACUUGAGGAACUUGCAUCGUUGAAAAAUGGUGGUUUUGCCAGUGCACCUGUGAAGCCAAAACCUGUACAUAAAGAGAAUGGAAGCCGUGCUGCUCCAGAAGUAUCAGAUCAACCUGAUGAUGGGGAGGGUGACUGGUUGAAGAAACUUUCUGAUUUUGCUGGAUCCAUUGUCAACGGGGCAUCCAAGUGGCUGAAGGACAACCUGUAGCCCCUGUAAAUAUUCACCGCGCAAUGCAUUCUCUUCAACGCCAGUUAUGGUGUUAUCUUAUCUGCAAUUCUUCAAUCCAUCAGGAUUCGACGAGCUGUUGCAUGCAUGUGUUCUGUUGGAGAGGCUCAUCUUUUACGGCAGUGAAGUGGCAACGGAGAGGUUUAGUGUCAACUAAUUUUAUUGACGCCAUAUUUAUUUUGUUUUGAGAUACCCUUGUAAAGCAUGAAUUUUGCUGUAGACGCACUCAUAUUUCCUAGAGCAUGUAACAGUCGUCUGAUUCACGGCCGCUGAUAUCAAGCUCGAUGAAGCUUACAUUCUUUGUAAAUACAUAUCUUUUUCCAGUAGAGCAUCCCGGUACAUGAGGCUACGCAAGUGAAUAUCCUUCUCGUCGCUCCAAAUUCAGAAUAAACAGGCAUCCGCAUCUUCAAGUGCAAUUUUUUGCGAUAGAACACAAGAUUUCCGGACAGAAUACUACUUUUUUGCAUUCUGUUCUUGUUCU